RNAcentral lists this ribosomal RNA (489 nucleotides) under uncultured bacterium. Its description in RNAcentral is "partial 16S ribosomal RNA". It matches the Rfam family "Bacterial small subunit ribosomal RNA", at positions 355 to 836 of the family's 1533-position model. The record is from RNAcentral.
UGGGGAAUUUUGGACAAUGGGCGCAAGCCUGAUCCAGCCAUGCCGCGUGCAGGAAGAAGGCCUUCGGGUUGUAAACUGCUUUUGUCAGGGAAGAAAUCCUUUGGGUUAAUACCUCGAAGGGAUGACGGUACCUGAAGAAUAAGCACCGGCUAACUACGUGCCAGCAGCCGCGGUAAUACGUAGGGUGCGAGCGUUAAUCGGAAUUACUGGGCGUAAAGCGUGCGCAGGCGGCUUUGCAAGACAGAUGUGAAAGUCCCCGGGCUCAACCUGGGAACUGCAUUUGGUGACUGCAAGGCUAGAGUGCGGCAGAGGGAGAUGGAAUUCCGCGUGUAGCAGUGAAAUGCGUAGAUAUGCGGAGGAACACCGAUGGCGAAGGCAAUCUCCUGGGCCUGCACUGACGCUCAUGCACGAAAGCGUGGGAGCAAACNGAUUAGUNCCCUGGUAGUCCACGCCAUAAACCGAUGUCAACUGGUUGUGGACGGCUUGCNG